AUUAGAAUCUGCUACAUAAGCAAUUGGGCCCAUACCCCAAAAACGAUGUCACCAUCUUCUAGUA
This 64-nucleotide transfer RNA is filed under the name Brookesia sp. Betampona. RNAcentral describes it as "tRNA-Met". Lineage: Eukaryota; Metazoa; Chordata; Lepidosauria; Squamata; Chamaeleonidae. The record is from RNAcentral.